CAGGAAGAUUUACUCUGGAGAAUACACCAUCUUCCUGAUCCUCUGCACGGUGCAGCCCACGCAGCCGUGGGCAGAGCUUGGAGCCAAGCCCCUGCCCUGCACGGCUCACGCUCCCGAGCGGUUUUUGAUCCCGAUCUCCUUCCAGCAGACAAACCGCCCACUUACAGUUGUUUACUCCCUGAACACAGAGUUUCAGCUCUGUAACAACGAGAAGGUUUUUCUAAUGGACCCCACCAAAUCAGAAAGGUCUCUGGCAGAAAUGGAUUACAAGGGGGCUUUUCCAAGGGGCAGAUCCUGUACGGGCGUGUGCUCUGGCACCCCGAACAAAACCUCAACGCCGCUUACAAGCUGCAGCUGGAGAAGGUCUACCUGUGCACAGGCAGGGCUGGCUACGUGCCCCUCUUCGACCCCACAGGCACCAUCUACAACCAGGGGCCCCAGUACAGCUGCAUCCAGCCCCACAAGUACCUGAAACACCGAUUCCUCCUCCUGCUGUCCGAGUUCCACUCGGUGAGCAGCAUGCCCGGAGUUGAUGGAUUUACUCUCAAGGUGGAUGCUGUCUACAAGGUAUAUAGUACCCAGUGCUUUUAGUAGCCCAAAAUGGACUUCUCUGUCCAGGACCUCCCAAACACUUGGUGAAUUGUAGACUCUGGGCCUUCAGAAUUCACCUCUGAUACAAGAAAUGAAGA
Non-coding RNA from Cyanistes caeruleus (blue tit), 689 nucleotides. The record is from RefSeq and is a predicted model, not a curated record. NCBI's taxonomy places the organism in Eukaryota, Metazoa, Chordata, Aves, Passeriformes, Paridae.